UCCUGUCGUGGUCGACGGGUGGCAACGCGGGCUUCAAGGGCUCGCGCAAGUCCACGCCGUUCGCCGCGCAGGUCGCUGCCGAGGCCGCGACC
Molecule: transfer RNA, 92 nt
Filed under: Egicoccus halophilus
Lineage: Bacteria; Bacillati; Actinomycetota; Nitriliruptoria; Egicoccales; Egicoccaceae
Description: tRNA-Leu
Source: RNAcentral